UUCAGGCAGACACUUGCAGCACCUCUGCCUUCCUUCAGUGAAGGGUUGCUUCUGCUGGCUAAACCUUCCUGAGGAAAGCGUCACAGCUUCACUCUCUGAAACACAAGUGUUGGGAGACUUGGGACCACUGCAUUUGACUUGGCAUGAAGGCAAGUGUGAUGAGAUCUGUGACUGCACCUCUGAAGAGGUAAGUGAGGUAAGUGAAGUUUUCCCUGACAUUGUGUAAGUCUUGUCCCAGGGUCAGAUGCAUCUGGUGGGAGUUUAUACUGCAAGUAACUGUGCCUUUCUGUGGGAGGUUCCUCCCCUGAGACAUUCCUGAGGGAUUAGUCAGAUUUCUGUGCCUCAGAAAGAAAUGUGUACUAUGGCUUCUGGAAAGAAAAGAACAGAAAUCUACCCAAGCAGAGCUGUGGUGCAAGCAGAGGGAGCUGCCCAGCCUGGCUGAGCAGGCUGAGGCUGCCCAUGGCUGGCUCUGCCCACCCACAGAGUGAGUGCAAGUCAGACACAGCUCUGGAAAAUGAAUUGUUUGUGCUGUUCAACAGAAAACAGAACUGGGGCUUGAAGAUGGGGGUGAGGGUGGGAAGUAAGUUUGCAGACAGCACCAAGCUGGGCGGGAGUGUUGAUCAGCUGGAGAGCAGGAAGGCUCUACAGAGGGGUCUGGACAGGCUGGAUCAAAUGCUGUGAGAUUCAGAGAGACCAAGAGCUUGGUCCUGCACCUGGAUGACAACAACUCCAGGCAGUUCUACAGGCUGGGGGCAAUGGGUGGGAAUCUGCCAGGUGGAAAAGGAAAUGGGAAUGCUGGUCAAUGGCAGCUGAACAUGAGCCAGCUGUGCCCAGGUGGCCAAGAAGGCCAAUGGCAUCCUGGACUGGAUCAGCAAUAGUGGCCAGCAGGAGCAGGGCAGUGGUGGUCCCCCUAGACUUGGCACACUGGGUCCACACCUCAAUUCUUGUGCUCAGCUCCGGGCUCCUCAGCACAAGGAGGUGCUGGAGCCAUGUCCAAAGAAAGGCAACAGAGCUGAGGAAGGGUCUGGAGCACAAGGCUUGUGGAGACCUGCUGAGGAAGCUUGGGUGUUUAGCCUGGAGAAAAGGAGGCUCAAGGAAGACAUUAUCACUCUCUACAAUUGCUUGAAAUAAGGGUGUAGGCAGGUGGGGCUUGGUCUCUUGUCCCAGGUAACAAGUGACAGGACAAGAGGAAAUGGUCUCAAAUUGCACAUGGGAAGUUUGAGAUUGGAUAUCAGGAAAAAUAUCUUCACUGAAAGGGUGGCCAGGCAUUGGAACAGGCUUCCCAGGGAAGUGGUGGAACCACCAUCCCUGAAGUAUUCACAAAAUGGGUAGAUGUGGCAUUGGGGAUGUGGUUUAGCAGUAAGCACAGCGCUGCUGGGCCAACAGCUGAACUCAAUGCUCUUAGAGGUCUCUUCCAACCUUAACGUUUCUAUGAUUCUAUACAUUUAAGUGGAAGGUUUGUGCUACUUUCCAAAAUCCAAACUUUCUUUGUUUCUGUUUUCCUUUAAAGACAGCUGAACUGGUGCUAUUUAGUCUUGGAUAGCCCAAUAGGGCUAAGCAGAGGACCAAGUACAUCAAUAAAAGGUUCUGUAGUUUCCAAGAGGAACACUAAUUCCAGAAUGGAAAAUUAUUACUAUUCCAUCCCUUUAGAGACCAGUGGAUAAAUCUGCUCAUGUUUGAGUACUUGAAUUAACAAUGUGUAAGUACCACAUCUCUUUCUAAUUUCUGAAAAGUUUGUUGGUAAAUCAAAGACAUCCAGAGCUCUGUCCUGAAUGUUUUUCUGGGUGUACUGUGGCUGCUGCGUGGUAAUAAAUGUGUGCUUUCUAAGUAGAAAGAAAGAUACGAUCUAUUAGCAUAAAAUAAUGUGAAAUUGUUUAAAUGAAAACCCAAACUUGGUGUUUAGAGCUUGGUAAAAAAUGGAAUGGACCAAAAAUCACUACCACCAGUCGAACUGGCUUUUUGGGCUGGAAACCAAAACUGUGUGCAAGAUACACAAAAGCCUCAGGGAUCUUUCCCUGGGGUAAGUGGUGUUAAACUGUCCAUCUGCCUUCUCUGCCCCACUGAGAAGCCACCCAGUUGCUUGGCUGUGGGCUGACUUUGGAACAUGGAAGUAAUUUUGUUGAGGGCAGCUUGACUAAUCAGCCCAGAGAGCUGGGUGUGUCUGUACAUUUUUGCAGGAACACUACCAGAGGUUUUAUUGUCCUCUGAAUGCAGAACUGGGGACGAGGAUUUGGCAGACGAGGUCCAUUCAUGCUCAGAAGUGUCAGCCCUUUGGCAGAACAAUAUGAGGUGAUUCUGUGCUUUGGAACUUGACUUCCAGCUGCAACUGCCAUGAAAUCCACACUCUUCUUCCCACUGACUGUGCUGGUGGAAAAGGCAAGUGCUGCUUGGGAAAACAAUAAAUAUCACCCAGCUUCCAAAAA
Haemorhous mexicanus (house finch) is the source of this 2423-nucleotide long non-coding RNA. RefSeq lists it as uncharacterized. The transcript is spliced from 3 exons. Lineage: Eukaryota; Metazoa; Chordata; Aves; Passeriformes; Fringillidae. The record is from RefSeq and is a predicted model, not a curated record.